AUUGAACGCUGGCGGCAGGCCUAACACAUGCAAGUCGAACGGUAACAGGAAGAAGCUUGCUUCUUUGCUGACGAGUGGCGGACGGGUGAGUAAUGUCUGGGAAACUGCCUGAUGGAGGGGGAUAACUACUGGAAACGGUAGCUAAUACCGCAUAAUGUCGCAAGACCAAAAAGGGGGACCUUCGGGCCUCUUGCCAUCGGAUGUGCCCAGAUGGGAUUAGCUAGUAGGUGGGGUAACGGCUCACCUAGGCGACGAUCCCUAGCUGGUCUGAGAGGAUGACCAGCCACACUGGAACUGAGACACGGUCCAGACUCCUACGGGAGGCAGCAGUGGGGAAUAUUGCACAAUGGGCGCAAGCCUGAUGCAGCCAUGCCGCGUGUAUGAAGAAGGCCUUCGGGUUGUAAAGUACUUUCAGCGGGGGGGAAGGGAGUAAAGUUAAUACCUUUGCUCAUUGACGUUACCCGCAGAAGAAGCACCGGCUAACUCCGUG
This 490-nucleotide ribosomal RNA is filed under the name uncultured bacterium. Its description in RNAcentral is "partial 16S ribosomal RNA". It matches the Rfam family "Bacterial small subunit ribosomal RNA", at positions 30 to 507 of the family's 1533-position model. The record is from RNAcentral.